UUUCACAGCCGCAUGCCUUGAGUCCUUAUCCCAUUGCUGUUGUUCCGCUGCCAAAGAUUUUUCACGCAUGCAAGCCCAGGCACGCAUCGUUCCAGCUCCAUGUCCCACGGGAUAUUUCUUAUCUCCUGUGCGCUCACUCAACUGGAUGAGUCUCCUGCGUACCGGUCUUUGAUUUUUCUCUGGAAUGUGCUUGAGCUUGUACAGGCUGUGGCCUUAUCCAUCGCUCGAUUCAUCUCCCUGUCUUUAUCUUCUCCAAGCCGUGGAGCUUCUUCCCCAGCGCGCCCCUCUCCCUGGCUCUUCCCUGCGCGCCGCGGUGCUCCAGCUUGGCCCUGCUCAACUCGCCUCUACACAGCGUUCCUCUGCUCGGCCCUUUUUCCCCUGCACGCGAGCUCUGCGUCUUCCUGCGCGCCGGCUCCUGCUGAGCCGUGCGCCCUGGUGGCUAUCGCGACUGAUCUGUGGCCGCCACCUUCAGCUCGCCGGCAUUUCUUCUCUGCGCGCAGCUCACGCCCUGCUAGCCCCUGCUGCGGGUUG
Molecule: unclassified non-coding RNA, 531 nt
Filed under: Zea mays
Lineage: Eukaryota; Viridiplantae; Streptophyta; Magnoliopsida; Poales; Poaceae
Description: misc RNA Zm00001eb050640
Source: RNAcentral